AUACGUAGGGGGCGAGCGUUGUCCGGAAUGAUUGGGCGUAAAGGGCGCGUAGGCGGCCUGUUAAGUCUGGAGUGAAAGUCCUGUUUUCAAGAUGGGAAUUGCUUUGGAUACUGAUGGGCUUGAGUGCAGGAGAGGUUAUCGGAAUUCCCGGUGUAGCGGUGAAAUGCGUAGAGAUCGGGAGGAACACCAGUGGCGAAGGCGGGUAACUGGACUGCAACUGACGCUGAGGCGCGAAAGUGUGGGGAGCAAACAGGAUUAGAUACCCUGGUAGUCCACGCGGUAAACGAUGAAUGCUAGGUGUUGCGGGUAUCGACCCCUGCAGUGCCGGAGUCAACACAAUAAGCAUUCCGCCUGGGGAGUACGGCCGCAAGGUUGAAACUCAAAUGAAUUGACGGGG
RNAcentral lists this ribosomal RNA (397 nucleotides) under uncultured bacterium. RNAcentral's name for it is "partial 16S ribosomal RNA". It matches the Rfam family "Bacterial small subunit ribosomal RNA", at positions 523 to 918 of the family's 1533-position model. The record is from RNAcentral.